UUCACUACGAAGUAGAUAAGACGAGCGUUUGAGCUUAAAAAGUAUAUAAAUUGUCAAUAUGUUUCGAAAACGACUGAUCGUUUAAGACCCUUCUUUCUCUUUUAAAGCCAGUUCAAGUUGCAUUUAAACUGCAUUUUGGAAAUUCAAACUUGGAGGCACCAUUAAAGUCCACUAUAUGGAAAUAAUUCCUGAAAUGUUUUCCUCAAGAAACAUAAUUUUUUAUCGACUGAAGAAAGAAAAACAUUAACAUCUUGGAUGACAAGGCAGUGAAGCUGGAUCACGAAUGAUUUGCGCGAACUUAGACGGAUAUAUGUACAUCGGGAGGCGCAUUCCCUUCACAAACAAACGUAAUCCACUGCAUCUUCAGCAGCUCGGAUGUCGGGAGUAAAUGACGACCACUAUGUUCAUUAUUACAUCCAGCAACACAACACCUCAAUCACUCAAUCGGAGAUAUUCUUGUCAUCAGAACAACAGAGGUCGGACUGAGACAGCUGAUCUGAGGAGAUGUCAACACAGUUUUUUUCCCAGUGGUACGUCAAAACUAAUCUAUACAGACUAUAUGUAGAUAGGACAGCUCAGCUGUUUUCUGUACCUUGGCCUUUGACUUGAAAAAGGAG
Molecule: long non-coding RNA, 617 nt
Organism: Labeo rohita (rohu)
Lineage: Eukaryota; Metazoa; Chordata; Actinopteri; Cypriniformes; Cyprinidae
Exons: 3
Source: RefSeq, a predicted model, not a curated record